RNAcentral lists this ribosomal RNA (1271 nucleotides) under Coptotermes gestroi. RNAcentral's name for it is "bacterial LSU rRNA". It matches the Rfam family "Bacterial large subunit ribosomal RNA", at positions 908 to 2165 of the family's 2925-position model. Lineage: Eukaryota; Metazoa; Arthropoda; Insecta; Blattodea; Rhinotermitidae. The record is from RNAcentral.
CACUGGAUGGACUAGGGGGCGUUCACCGCCUACCAAACCCCAAACUCAAACUCCGAAUGCCGGCGCACAACUGAUAGGAGUGAGACUGCGGGCGACAAGGUUCGUAGUCGAGAGGGAAACAGCCCAGACCGUCAGCUAAGGUCCCGAAAUACCGCUGAGUGUGAAAUGAUGUGUGAUGGCGAAGACAGCCAGGAGGUUGGCUUAGAAGCAGCCAUUCCUUAAAAGAGUGCGUAAUAGCUCACUGGUCGAGUCAUGACGCGCAGAUAAUGUAACGGGGCUAAGCGGUAUACCGAAGCUACGGGUUCAUACAGCGAUGUAUGGACGGUAGGGGAGCAUUCCACGGACCGAAGAAGGUAGCCUGGGAAGGAUACUGGAGGGAGUGGAAGGGAGAAUGCAGGUAUAAGUAUACGAAAAGAGGGGUGAGAUCCCCCUCCGCCGAAAGCCUAAGGAUUCCUGGGUAAAGGUCAUCUGCCCAGGGUAAGUCGGCCCCUAAGGCGAGGACGAAAGUCGUAGUCGAUGGGAAACGGGUUAUUAUUCCCGUACCUUGGUAAGUUUUGAGGGGAUGACGCAUGAGGUAAAGCCUGGCCGGGGGACGGUAGUCCCGGUCGAAGCCGUGAGUGGGGGUAUAGGCAAAUCCGUACCCGGAAAAUGAGCGGUGACAGCGAGUGGAGCUACGGCAAAGCGAAGCGGGUGGAGCCAGGGUGCCAAGAAAUAAUCUCUAAAGGUAGGCUUACUAAGACCGUACCGGAAACCGACACAGGUAGGCGGGAUGAGGAAUCUAAGGCGCUCGAGAGAACUCGCGUUAAGGAACUCGGCAAAAUGCGCACGUAACUUCGGGAGAAGUGUGGCCGACGCCGGUUUAGCGAUAGGUUGGUGGCGGCAGCAUAAAGCAGUCCCAGGCGACUGUUUACCAAAAACACAGGCCUCUGCGAAUCAGUAAUGAGACGUAUAGGGGCUGACACCUGCCCGGUGCUGGAAGGUUAAGGGGAGUGGUUAAUCGCAAGGUGAAGCUAUGAACCGAAGCCCCAGUAAACGGCGGCCGUAACUAUAACGGUCCUAAGGUAGCGAAAUUCCUUGUCGGGUAAGUUCCGACCCGCACGAAAGGUGUAACGAUCUGGGAGCUGUCUCAACGCGAGACUCGGUGAAAUUUAUGUACCGGUAAAGAAGCCGGUUACCCGUGGUUAGACGGAAAGACCCCGUGAACCUUCACCGUAACUUAUCAUGGGGACUUGAUGCGGCAUGUGUAGGAUAGGUGGGAGACUGGGAAGCAU